RNAcentral lists this ribosomal RNA (229 nucleotides) under uncultured bacterium. RNAcentral's name for it is "partial 16S ribosomal RNA". It matches the Rfam family "Bacterial small subunit ribosomal RNA", at positions 110 to 339 of the family's 1533-position model. The record is from RNAcentral.
GUAACGCGUAUGCAACCUACCCUAUACAGGGGGAUAGCCCGGAGAAAUCUGGAUUAAUAUCCCAUGGUAUCAUUUGACCGCAUGGUUAAAUGAUUAAAGAUUCAUCGGUAUAGGAUGGGCAUGCGUCUGAUUAGCUAGUUGGCGGUGUAACGGACCACCAAGGCUACGAUCAGUAGGGGUUCUGAGAGGAAGGUCCCCCACACUGGCACUGAGAUACGGGCCAGACUCC